RNAcentral lists this transfer RNA (69 nucleotides) under Fukomys damarensis (Damara mole-rat). It matches the Rfam family "tRNA". From Rfam's summary of the family: Transfer RNA (tRNA) molecules are approximately 80 nucleotides in length. Lineage: Eukaryota; Metazoa; Chordata; Mammalia; Rodentia; Bathyergidae. The record is from Rfam by way of RNAcentral.
GGGGUUGUAGCUCAGUGGCACAGCACCUGCCUGGCAAGCACAAGGCCCAGAAUUCAAUUCUCAGCACCA